UGAGACCUGCUGUCUCAGGGAGCAGUUCCCUCCCCUCUGCAGUGUGUGGGCAAGUGGGACCCCUGGUUUGGUACAUAAAGGGAUGCACGUCCAGCUCCCACCACACAGCCCCACACAGCCCCCAGCAGCACUCCCCAGGUCGCAGAGCCGGUGCACACGCGUGUGCCGGGGCAGCCACGGCGGGGUUUUCUCCCCCUGACACCGGGAGGGAGAGGAGCUGGAGGAGGAUGCCAGAGCAGCUGAGUUCUUCCAUCCCUGAGCACAAGCGCUACGGAGGAUUAGCCAUCUCCCGCGGUGCCUGUUCUCCCGCCCACCUCCCUCAGCAGCGAGGAGAUGACAGCUGAGGGAAGAGAGCAGAGCACUCGAGGCGUGCAGGGGAGAGAUGGCUGAAGACAGACCGACCUUUCUGCAGCAGCAGCGCAGCAGGACGUGUGUUGGUAGUUCGAUCAGAAGGGAAAGGCACGAAGGUUCACAGACCCUCAGAAGAACCACCAUAGCCCGCUGACCUCGGGGAGGCUCUGCCUUGUCCUGCAGCUCCUGCUGGUGAAGGUUCCAUGCCGGAGAUCUGUGGGACAUGAUCGCCCUCUAAAGGGAAAAGCUGAGAAAACGUGAUUAAUUCCCACACAGGCGAAGCUGCAGAGAAUUAGAAGAGCGUUGGCAUGGGCAAGGCAGUGACCGUCUCUCUUCAUCCAGAGUCUUUGUUCCGACUCCAAGAUAUCCUUGGAAACAUUAUCCGUGCACUACAGCCAUGAAUAAUUGCAGCCAAUCAACUCCACACUUAGCUCAUGCCGUUCUCCUGAGCUUUUAAUUGUUGAGUCCAUUAGUUACUUGGUACCUGGCAGAGCUUAUCCAUUUAUAGGCACACACAGACUGUGGGCUGAGCAGCUUUCACCCGAAAAUCAAGACGGUGGCAAAUCCCUCAGCGCAUCCAAGUCUACGUCUUCUCUCCCGGGAUCUGAACUCUGCACAAGGGGGGAUUUUAGUUGUUUUGUUUUUAAAAACUUACGUCCCUUGGGGACUUAAAUGGCUAAUUCUAGUUGUGAUGGGUCAUAUUUGCUUAUUUGGGAAGCUAAAAGCAGCCAGGCAGAUUGCCAACCCCGUCUUCACAGAGCAAAGGCCGCUGCAACAAGGGCUGAGUUAAUUAUUGCUGUUCUGUAUCAUCAUCUGCCUUCCUACCAGGCCAAACACUCGUGCCACAGGCUCCUGUGGGGCAGGAAGACACAGAAUCUCUUUUGUCCUCAAGCCAGAGCAUAGGACUCACCGAAAGCUGCUUCCCCCAGGUCCUGCCCAUCCGACCAGGGCAGCUUUUGAGGCUUUCUGCAGCUAUCAGAGAGCACAGAGGGCUGGGGAACACCUCACAGUCAGCUGCUUAAUUUGGAAGCAACUUAUUUUUAGCACCACCUUGGUAUCUGUUUACAGCCUUCUUGGACCACUUAAAAAAAAGAGUUCCUUUUGCAGCCCGUUGGCUUUUUAAGAGAGAUUUAAGAAACAACAUGGGCCAUUCUGGAGAGUAAAGGACUUGUGAGUUGGGUUAAAUCUGUGCUCUGGAAUAAAUUAAAAAAAAAAAAAAAUCAGGUUCUAAAAUAGGAGCAAGGCCAGGAGGAUCCAGGCACUAAAAAUAAACAUGAAGUCACGCUGUCUUUUCCUGGGAACUCGACUGCCUUGCCUGGAGAAGGGGCUCCCAGAGCAGGCAGCAGCAUGGAACCAUCUCUGUGCGGGUGGGGAGGUCCUGCCACAGGUUGCCCAGAGAAGCUGUGGCUGCCCCAACCCUGGAAGUGUCCAAGGCCAGGUUGGAUGGGGAUUGGAGCAACCUGGGCUAGUGGAAGGUGUCCCUACCCGUGGCAGGGGCGAUGGAUCUUUGAGGUCCCUUCUAACCCAAACCAUUCUCUGAUUCUGUGAUCUCCCUGUUGUCAGAGGGGAUCCAGGAGCAGAGAGACAGCCCCUCAGCUCUCAGACAUUUCAGAGGUGACUCUGGGCUUGUCACCUGUACUCAGAUUUUGCUGCUUUCAGACUGUAGUUUGACUGCUUUCCAUUCCCAAUCACUGGAGCUUUUCUCCACAAGGGUGGAUGUACCUCUGUGGCAAGAAAGUGAUAUUGGCAGUUCUUAUUUUUCCUCCCUUUGGUUAUGUUCACACUGUGUUAUUGUUAAUACAGGCUUCAUAUGUAAUGUAAAUAGGAUCGUAUAGAGUUUCACAUGGAAGUUAUAAUUUCAUUUAUAGUUUCAUAUGUAAGUCAGACAGGAUCCUGUGGGUUUCGUGACAGGUUUUCACAGAGAAGGACAAUCACAGCACAUCCUGGAAGCGUCGCUUAUUCAAAGCACGGCACAUACAUUUACUAACUAAUCUCUGACUAAUCCCCGAUCUCUGGCUAAUUAGCCCCUUCCUCCACGAGCUAAUGCUUAUUGAGCCUUUUGAAGCAUUUAGAGCGCUAAGCACAAUCACGCACAUCUCCUUAGCGUGCCGGGGACGUGAAGAAUUAAUAAAUAAUUAAUAAAUGCCGUUAACGAGCGGGAUGGGGGGGGUCGAUUGAUCCCGGGGGAGCGGGACUACAUUUCCCAUCAGCCCUCGCGCCCCGAGACGGCGGCUGGACUACACCUCCCAUGAGCCCCCGCGCGCGGCCCCGCCCUCCCCGCGGUGCACGGGAACAGCAUGGCGGCGCAGCUGCGUGCGAGCCUGGCACGAUGUCAGGAAAGGAUUAAAACACUCCUCUGGCUGGGGACCUGAUUUAUCUACUGGACUAACAGUACAGCUGCACAAUGGAGGAAACCGUCCUGCAGAGUCCUGGGGCUGCUGUUGCCCAAACACAGCUUUGGCAAGAGGGCAGCUGCUAAGCUGGGCUUAAGCUGCUCUAGAAGCAACAGAAUAAAGAUUGUUUUGGACUGAGUGUCACAGAUGGCCACUGAUAAGUGACUUGUGUAACCACAGGCUCCUCCUCGCUGCUCAGGGGUUGCUGCAACCACACCAUAGGAUCUGACCUACAGUUGGCUGGACGAAAAAGCGAUUCCCUGGUUUCUUCUGUUCCAGAAUAAAAUAAAUUAUGGGAAAUCUUGUGAGU
Molecule: long non-coding RNA, 3054 nt
Organism: Corapipo altera (White-ruffed manakin)
Lineage: Eukaryota; Metazoa; Chordata; Aves; Passeriformes; Pipridae
Exons: 6
Source: RefSeq, a predicted model, not a curated record